GACGAACCGUGCGAACGUUAUUCGGAAUCACUGGGCUUAAAGGGCGCGUAGGCGGGUUGCCAAGUCUGUGGUGAAAUCCUCCAGCUUAACUGGAGAACGGCCGUGGAUACUGGCGACCUCGAGGGGGGUAGGGGCUUGCGGAACUGUGCGUGGAGCGGUGAAAUGCGUUGAUAUGCACAGGAACUCCGGUGGCGAAGGCGGCGAGCUGGACCAUUUCUGACGCUGAGGCGCGAAAGCCAGGGGAGCGAAUGGG
RNAcentral lists this ribosomal RNA (253 nucleotides) under uncultured bacterium. RNAcentral describes it as "partial 16S ribosomal RNA". It matches the Rfam family "Bacterial small subunit ribosomal RNA", at positions 524 to 776 of the family's 1533-position model. The record is from RNAcentral.